GUGUUUUAUAUUCUGUUUUGUACAGCCAAGUUUAUCAAUGAAUGAAUAGUUUUUUCAAUGAUAAAUUUGCAGUUUCCAAUGAAUUAACUCCAUAGAGAACAAAAACUACUGUAUUAAAAUAUUCAAUGGGACAGAGUACUUUGCAAAAGUUUAAAUGGACAGGUAAUCACCAACUGAUUUGGGGAGGGGGGUUGGGGUUCUAUUUCCUUUGCAAUAAGUCUGGAAAGCUAACCUAUAAAAUGUACUGUCUGGUAAGGUCACCAUCAUUCUAUUACAGUUUUCAAGUUAACCGUCAAAAAAUGUCAAAAAAUUGCUUAUAAGGGCAAACACUCCUAUGGUCAUUCAAUGGUUUUGGUCAUGAUAUUUUUGCAGCUGUUGUUUUGCUAAUCAAUUUUGUUUUUUACAGUAUCUACUUAGUUUACAAGAAAAUUGGCUUUCAUGCCAGGUGAACUAAAAAGAUUUUUACACAAUUUUUUUUAACAGCUUAUUGCUUUUUAUCAUUCAAACAUGCAAAUCUUUUACCAAUCCUUGAAAAGAAACUACUCUGAACAAAUUGAAAUAAAACUGAA
Molecule: long non-coding RNA, 569 nt
Filed under: Mytilus galloprovincialis (Mediterranean mussel)
Lineage: Eukaryota; Metazoa; Mollusca; Bivalvia; Mytilida; Mytilidae
Source: RNAcentral